CAGCCGCCGCGGUAAUACGUAGGGGGCAAGCGUUAUCCGGAAUUACUGGGUGUAAAGGGAGCGUAGACGGUUAAACAAGUCUGAAGUGAAAUGCCGGGGCUCAACCCCGGAGCUGCUUUGGGAACUGUAGAACUGGAGUGUCGGAGGGGUAAGCGGAAUUCCCAGUGUAGCGGUGAAAUGCGUAGAUAUUGGGAGGAACACCGGCGGCGAAGGCGGCUUACUGGACGACAACUGACGUUGAGGCUCGAAGGCGUGGGUAGCAAACAGGAUUAGAUACCCGCGUAGUCCCUGUCUCUUAUAC
This 301-nucleotide ribosomal RNA is filed under the name uncultured bacterium. RNAcentral describes it as "partial 16S ribosomal RNA". It matches the Rfam family "Bacterial small subunit ribosomal RNA", at positions 509 to 807 of the family's 1533-position model. The record is from RNAcentral.